AGAAUCAACGCUGGCGGCGUGCCUAACACAUGCAAGUCGAACGAGAAAGUGGAGCAAUCCAUGAGUAAAGUGGCGCACGGGUGAGUAACACGUGACUAACCUACCUUUUAGGUGGGGGAUAACCUAGGGAACCUGGGCUAAUAUCGCAUAAUACCUACGGGUCAAAGCAGCAAUGCGCUGGAAGAGGGGGUCGCGGUCGAUUAGUUAGUUGGCAGGGUAAUGGCCUACCAAGACUGUGAUCGAUA
Molecule: ribosomal RNA, 245 nt
Filed under: uncultured bacterium
Lineage: Bacteria
Description: partial small subunit ribosomal RNA
Rfam family: Bacterial small subunit ribosomal RNA
Source: RNAcentral